GUCGAGGCUAGAGUCACGCUUGGGUACUGGUGAUUGCCUUAGUGUGCUAGAGUCCUCAAAGAAUAACGACUGACCUUAUUCACUGGCUGUGGACCUUGUGGCACACUCAGUCACCGGUUUAGUGACAUGC
Small nucleolar RNA from Jaculus jaculus (lesser Egyptian jerboa), 130 nucleotides. NCBI's taxonomy places the organism in Eukaryota, Metazoa, Chordata, Mammalia, Rodentia, Dipodidae. The record is from Ensembl.